Bacillus rossius redtenbacheri is the source of this 206-nucleotide long non-coding RNA. RefSeq lists it as uncharacterized. The record is from RefSeq and is a predicted model, not a curated record. The transcript is spliced from 2 exons. NCBI's taxonomy places the organism in Eukaryota, Metazoa, Arthropoda, Insecta, Phasmatodea, Bacillidae.
UGAUAUGGGGCUUUGUCGGUUUUUGGAGAAAGUUAUUUGUUAAUUUCAGAGCAAUUGGUUAUAAGAAGGAUACAUCUGAAAAAAUCAAUAUAGAAAUGUUUUCCUUCCUGCAAUUUUUUUAAAAUAAUUUUGUUAAAGUCUGUUCAACGUGAUCAGAGUUGUAUGCCUAAAUGAAUACAUGGUACAAAUAAAUGGUGGUUGAUUAA